RNAcentral lists this long non-coding RNA (371 nucleotides) under Sus scrofa (pig). Its description in RNAcentral is "lncRNA (ENSSSCG00040069026.1)". Lineage: Eukaryota; Metazoa; Chordata; Mammalia; Artiodactyla; Suidae. The record is from RNAcentral.
GUGGAUGGAAACGAGACCAAGAGAAAAAAAUAAGCAACUUAAUAACCUACUUUUACCCAGAGAAUGGAAAAUAAAAUGCAAGAUUCCAAACCCUGCCCUUUCAUUGCAUCUUCAUCUUUGGAAAAUACAGAGUGCCACAGACUGAACUCUCCCAGCUGGCUGGGGAUCCCACUCACUGCUAGGACCCAGGACUCCAGAAUUUUCAAUGUAUGUGUAUGUGUGUACUAUAUAUUUUAUAUAAUAUAUAGUGUAUUCAUAUAAUAUUCAACCCCCUAUAUCUACGAACAUAUAUACAUAUGUAUUUAUUUAAAUUCAUGCAUGUAUAUAUACAUAGAUACGCAUGCUUGUUUAUUUAUUUAUUUAUUUAUUAU